RNAcentral lists this ribosomal RNA (426 nucleotides) under uncultured bacterium. RNAcentral describes it as "partial 16S ribosomal RNA". It matches the Rfam family "Bacterial small subunit ribosomal RNA", at positions 354 to 796 of the family's 1533-position model. The record is from RNAcentral.
GUGGGGAAUUUUCCGCAAUGGGCGAAAGCCUGACGGAGCAAUGCCGCGUGAAGGAUGAAGGCCUAUGGGUUGUAAACUUCUUUUCUCAGAAAAGAAUUAUGACGGUAUCUGAGGAAUAAGCAUCGGCUAACUCUGUGCCAGCAGCCGCGGUAAGACAGAGGAUGCAAGCGUUAUCCGGAAUGAUUGGGCGUAAAGCGUCUGUAGGUUGUUUAAAAAGUAUUCUGUCAAAGAUUAGGGCUUAACCCUAGAUAGGCAGAAUAAACUUUUAAGCUAGAGUUUGGUAGAGGCAGAGGGAAUUCCCGGUGGAGCGGUGAAAUGCGUAGAUAUCGGGAGGAACACCAAAGGCGAAGGCACUCUGCUGGGCCAAUACUAACACUGAGAGACGAAAGCGAGGGGAGCAAAUGGGAUUAGAAACCCGUGUAGUCC